CCUACGGGAGGCAGCAGUAGGGAAUAUUGGUCAAUGGGGGAAACCCUGAAGCAGCAACGCCGCGUGGAGGAUGAAGGUUUUCGGGUUGUAAACUCCUUUUGUUAGAGUAGAUAAUGACGGUAUCUAAAGAAUAAGCACCGGCUAACUCCGUGACAGCAGCCGCGGUAAUACGGAGGGUGCAAGCGUUACUCGGAAUCACUGGGCGUAAAGAGCGCGUAGGCGGGAUAGCAAGUCAGAUGUGAAAUCCUAUGGCUUAACCAUAGAACUGCAUUUGAUACUGUUAUUCUAGAGUAUGGGAGAGGUAGGUGGAAUUCUUGGUGUAGGGGUAAAAUCCGUAGAGAUCAAGAGGAAUACUCAUUGCGAAGGCGACCUGCUAGAACAUAACUGACGCUGAUGCGCGAAAGCGUGGGGAGCAAACAGGAUUAGAUACCCUAGUAGUC
RNAcentral lists this ribosomal RNA (440 nucleotides) under uncultured bacterium. RNAcentral's name for it is "partial 16S ribosomal RNA". It matches the Rfam family "Bacterial small subunit ribosomal RNA", at positions 338 to 795 of the family's 1533-position model. The record is from RNAcentral.